GGGGGUAUGGCUCAGUUGGGAGAGCGCCUCGUUCGCAACGAGGAGGCCGGGGGUUCGAAUCCCCCUAUCUCCACCA
Molecule: transfer RNA, 76 nt
Filed under: Bacillota bacterium
Lineage: Bacteria; Bacillati; Bacillota
Also listed under: 2 other names
Description: tRNA-Ala
Rfam family: tRNA
About the family: Transfer RNA (tRNA) molecules are approximately 80 nucleotides in length. Their secondary structure includes four short double-helical elements and three loops (D, anti-codon, and T loops).
Source: RNAcentral